AGUGAACGCUGGCGGCAGGCCUAACACAUGCAAGUCGAACGGCAGCACAAGAGUGCUUGCUCUCGGGGUGGCGAGGGGCGGACGGGUGAGGAAUGCAUCGGAAUCUGCUCAUUUGUGGGGGAUAACCUCGGGAAACCGGGACUAAUACCGCAUACGACCUACGGGUGAAAGCAGGGGAUCUUGGGACCUUGCGCAGAUGGAUGAGCCGAUGCCGGAUGAGAUAGUUGGAGGGGUAAAGGCCCACCAAGGCGACGAUCCGUACAUGGUCUGAGAGGAUGAUCAGCCACACUGGGACUGAGCCACGGCCCAUACUCCUACGGGAGGCAGCAGUGGGGAAUAUUGGACAAUGGGGGCAAGCCUGAUACAGCCAUGCCGCGUGUGUGAAGAAGGCCUUCGGGUUGUAAAGCACUUUUGUUGGGAAAGAAAAGCUGCCGGUUAAUACCCAGUUGUCAUGACGGUACCCAAAGAAUAAGCACCGGCUAACUACGUG
Molecule: ribosomal RNA, 490 nt
Filed under: uncultured bacterium
Lineage: Bacteria
Description: partial 16S ribosomal RNA
Rfam family: Bacterial small subunit ribosomal RNA
Source: RNAcentral